AUUGAACGCUGGCGGCAUGCCUUACACGUGCAAGUCGAACGGUAACAGGUCUUCGGAUGCUGACGAGUGGCGAACGGGUGAGUAAUACAUCGGAACGUGCCCGAUCGUGGGGGAUAACGAAGCGAAAGCUUUGCUAAUACCGCAUACGAUCUACGGAUGAAAGCAGGGGACCGCAAGGCCUUGCGCGAACGGAGCGGCCGAUGGCAGAUUAGGUAGUUGGUGGGAUAAAAGCUUACCAAGCCGACGAUCUGUAGCCGGUCUGAGAGGACGACCAGCCACACUGGGACUGAGACACGGCCCAGACUCCUACGGGAGGCAGCAGUGGGGAAUUUUGGACAAUGGGCGAAAGCCUGAUCCAGCCAUGCCGCGUGCAGGAUGAAGGCCUUCGGGUUGUAAACUGCUUUUGUACGGAACGAAAAGACUCUGGUUAAUACCUGGGGCCCAUGACGGUACCGUAAGAAUAAGCACCGGCUAACUACGUGCCAGCAGCCGCAGUAA
This 498-nucleotide ribosomal RNA is filed under the name uncultured bacterium. RNAcentral describes it as "partial 16S ribosomal RNA". It matches the Rfam family "Bacterial small subunit ribosomal RNA", at positions 30 to 523 of the family's 1533-position model. The record is from RNAcentral.